This 499-nucleotide ribosomal RNA is filed under the name uncultured bacterium. RNAcentral's name for it is "partial 16S ribosomal RNA". It matches the Rfam family "Bacterial small subunit ribosomal RNA", at positions 899 to 1397 of the family's 1533-position model. The record is from RNAcentral.
ACUCAAAUGAAUUGACGGGGGCCCGCACAAGCGGUGGAGCAUGUGGUUUAAUUCGACGCAACGCGAAGAACCUUACCUACUCUUGACAUCCUCGGAAGCUAGCAGAGAUGCUGGUGUGCCUUCGGGAACCGAGAGACAGGUGCUGCAUGGCUGUCGUCAGCUCGUGUCGUGAGAUGUUGGGUUAAGUCCCGUAACGAGCGCAACCCUUGUCCUUAGUUGCUAACAGGUUAUGCUGAGAACUCUAGGGAGACUGCCGGUGACAAGCCGGAGGAAGGCGGGGACGACGUCAAGUCAUCAUGGCCCUUACGAGUAGGGCUACACACGUGCUACAAUGGGCGGUACAGAGGGAAGCGAAGUCGUGAGGCGGAGCGAAUCUCAGAAAGCCGCUCGUAGUCCGGAUUGGAGUCUGCAACUCGACUCCAUGAAGUUGGAAUCGCUAGUAAUCGCGGAUCAGAACGCCGCGGUGAAUACGUUCCCGGGCCUUGCACACACCGCCCGU